UGGGGAAUCUUGGACAAUGGGGGCAACCCUGAUCCAGCCAUGCCGCGUGAUCGAUGAAGGCCUUAGGGUUGUAAAGAUCUUUCAGCUGGGAAGAUAAUGACGGUACCAGCAGAAGAAGCCCCGGCUAACUCCGUGCCAGCAGCCGCGGUAAUACGGAGGGUGCAAGCGUUAUUCGGAAUUACUGGGCGUAAAGCGCGUGUAGGCGGUCCUGCAAGUCUGAUGUGAAAGCCCCGGGCUUAACCCGGGAAGUGCAUUGGAAACUGUGGGACUUGAGUACUGGAGAGGAUGGGGGAAUUCCCGGUGUAGAGGUGAAAUUCGUAGAGAUCGGGAGGAAUAUCAGUGGCGAAGGCGCCCAUCUGGACGGUAACUGACGCUGAGACGCGAAAGCGUGGGGAGCAAACA
Molecule: ribosomal RNA, 402 nt
Filed under: uncultured prokaryote
Description: bacterial SSU rRNA
Rfam family: Bacterial small subunit ribosomal RNA
Source: RNAcentral